GCAUCGAUGAAGAACGUAGCGAAUUACGAUAUGUAAUGUGAAUUGCAGAAUUCAGUGAAUCAUC
Molecule: ribosomal RNA, 64 nt
Filed under: Waitea circinata
Lineage: Eukaryota; Fungi; Basidiomycota; Agaricomycetes; Corticiales; Corticiaceae
Description: 5.8S ribosomal RNA
Rfam family: 5.8S ribosomal RNA
About the family: 5.8S ribosomal RNA (5.8S rRNA) is a component of the large subunit of the eukaryotic ribosome. It is transcribed by RNA polymerase I as part of the 45S precursor that also contains 18S and 28S rRNA.
Source: RNAcentral